GCGGGGGUUGUAGUUGGAGACGCGGGACUUAAGAUCCCGUCCCUCAGGGGUCCGUGGGUUCAAAUCCCACCCCCCGCACCA
RNAcentral lists this transfer RNA (81 nucleotides) under Thermoproteota archaeon. RNAcentral describes it as "tRNA-Leu". It matches the Rfam family "tRNA". Rfam says of the family: Transfer RNA (tRNA) molecules are approximately 80 nucleotides in length. Their secondary structure includes four short double-helical elements and three loops (D, anti-codon, and T loops). Further hydrogen bonds mediate the characteristic L-shaped molecular structure. tRNAs have two regions of fundamental functional importance: the anti-codon, which is responsible for specific mRNA codon recognition, and the 3' end, to which the tRNAs corresponding amino acid is attached (by aminoacyl-tRNA synthetases). tRNAs cope with the degeneracy of the genetic code in two manners: having more than one tRNA (with a specific anti-codon) for a particular amino acid; and 'wobble' base-pairing, i.e. permitting non-standard base-pairing at the 3rd anti-codon position. Lineage: Archaea; Thermoproteati; Thermoproteota. The record is from RNAcentral.